This 8179-nucleotide long non-coding RNA is filed under the name Physcomitrium patens. Its description in RNAcentral is "long non-coding RNA (PPAT_LNC007955)". Lineage: Eukaryota; Viridiplantae; Streptophyta; Bryopsida; Funariales; Funariaceae. The record is from RNAcentral.
CUAUCAAAAAUAUAAAAUCAUAUAAAUAUGACACUAGAAGAUGCAGAAUAAAAUCUAUAGAAACGGUGUCGUAUUACGUGAAGUCUUGCUUGAGAAUGCAUCGAGCAUCUGGUUGUGGAAAGUAAAAGAAAAUUGCAACAAAAGGUCCUAAAAAUCUAAUAAGAUUAUAGAGAAUUUACAAUUAAAUGUUAAGAAUCAUAAUCAAACAUUGAGCAAGCUCAAUUAAAUUUUAUUGAAAUUAUAAAAGAAACACAAGAAAAUCCUAAAAAAAUAUAAAAGAAUAUUAAAGAAACUUAGUCAAACCUUAACAAAAAUCUAAUAAAACCUUAAAUUCUAACCAAUUCCUAAUCCUAAUCCAACCUUAAUCAAAUCCUAGAAAAACCCUAAAUUCUAAACCAAAUCCUAAUCAAACCUUAAUCAACCCCUAAAUCUUAAAUCAAUCCCUAACCAAAUCCUUAACUAAAUCUUAAAUCCUAAUCCAAACCUUAAUUUAAAUCCUAAUUUAAACCUUAAAUCCUAAAUCAAAUCCUAAAUCAUAUCCUAAUCCUAAUAAAUCCUAAAUCCUAAACCAAAUCCUAACCAAAUCCUAAUCCUAAAUCCUAAUCAAAUCAUAAUCCUAAAUCCUAAUCAAAUCCUAAUCCAAACCAAACUCUAAUCACAGAUUUAAAAAUUAAAUAAUUAAAGAUUGAACCGUUGAUUCUAAUUCAAAAUUUUCAUACUUCUUGGAGUUUAAGUUGGAAACCAGCAUACAAAUUUUGAAGAAAAUCGCACUUACCAAUUAGUCAAUGACCUCAAUAUUCCGCUCGGAUGUUGGCUAGUCUUUCCUUCUUUAAUCUUGAUGCCAACUUCCCACAUUGAUAUCUUCCUUUUCUAUGGUUUGAUUACUUCUAAAUUUUACUUGCAUAAAACCAAAAAUCUCUCCAAUUCAACAAGCAAAUUCCUAGAUAUCUAAGAAAACCUUAUUGGUCCUCAAAACCCUAAAUCUCGAGACCUUAAUCCACAAAAACCUUCAUAUGUAUGGAUCUAGCCAUUCGAUUGAUCUUAAAUCUCUUACAUACAUUUACAACAAGCACACCAAUAAGUUUCUAAAUUUUCACCCAUAAAAAUGCUACAAAAGAGACGAAAUCCAAAAAUUUGUAAACUGGUUUUAUUUCUCAAAGUUCAAAAUUCACAGAGAACAUCUUUUGCUUUGAAAAUCCCUCAAAAAUCCAAUACUGAUCCAAACGACACGAAAUCACCUCUCAAAAAUCCUUCAACAAGUCUUGUCUCUAAUUCGGCUCUCCGAUCUUUCAAAGAACCCUUGAGUCGCCAUUAGAGCACGGUUUUGUGCCUUGGGGUCUGAUUUCGACCCAUGUUCAUAACCGGUCCUCUUCGGAUAUCAACUUUCGUCUUCUUGAGGUAAAUUUUACUAAUUUGCACUCCUAUCUCCUCCCUACAUAUGCCUAUAUUCUUUAUUUUUUUAAUCUACCUUGUUUUGUCUUAUUUAUGGCCUUACAAAGUAAAUAAAAGCAUAAUUUGUAAAAAGGCAGCAUUAACACCUUUAAUUUUUCUACCCUUUGACUAAUAUCUAUUUUUUCAAGAUAAUUUGCUACAAUAUUUUAGAAGUGAGAUCCUCAAAACAUGAUAUUUUCUUCAUCCUUUCACUUAUUAGCAAUGUUACAUCAUGACAUCCACCUCCCCUGAACCUGUGCAUCCUCUGGUAUGCACCAAGUUCCUUCAUUAUAUUGAUAUCGAAUUGUCUUCAUCUUGGUCAAUUUCUUGAUCUUCAUUUUGGUCUUUUUCUUCUAUCUCAAUAUCUAUUAUUAGAUUUUAUUCUUUUUAAAACAAAUGUCUUUACCUCUUUGAUUAAACAAUUUGAUUCACUUGCCUACUAUUGGUAUCUUUAAAUCUAUACCAUCCAGUUCUCGUAACAAGUAUGUUCCAUUCUCAUGCACUUGUUUGACAAUAUAAGGUCCAAACCAUCUCCUUCCAAAUUUCUUUGCCAUAUUAUAUUGGUUGUCCAAAUUACUAUCAUAAACCAACACCCAAUCACUAUUUUGAAUUGGUUUUGGAUGCAAUCGAUUCUUUUUGUCAAACCUCUCCUUGUUUUUUUAUCUCGCUUCUUUCAACUUUCUCACAGCUACUUCAAUGUCUUUGGACCUUCUUUCAAGUUGUCGAAUUCGUAAUGCCAAUAACUCUUCUCUUUUUAAACCAUCUUCCCAAGGUAAUAUAGCCCAUGUUGAUACAACCUUCUCUAUCGGCAUUAAUGAUUUUUGACCAUACAUCAAUUUUGUUGGCAUGUAUCCUAUGAUUGUACUAUGAGUUGUGUGAUCCGCCCAUAAUGCAAAUGGUAAUAAUUUAGGCCAAUCACUUAUUUUGCCUUUACAUGCUUUAACAAAUAUUUUAAUAAUCAGAGAAUAUCCACGUUCACUCUUGCCAUUCCCUUCCGGAUUAUAUAUUGUUGUCAAUGCAAGUUUAAUAUCCAUCCUUUCAAAGAACUCUCGUGCUUCACUUGCAUCUAAUUCUCUUCUAUCUGCAAUGAUUUUUCUAAUACAUCCAUAUCGGCAAAUAAUUUCCUCUAAUAUAAACCGACAUACUCCUUCCGUAGUCUUUAUUGAAAGUACUCUUCCCUCUACUUGAUUUGUCAAAUCUUCCCGAAUAAGUACCAAAUAUUUUCUUUGACCAAAUCCCAUUGACAUUACAACUAAAUCAACCACCCAUUUAUAAUGAAUUACUAAUGGGUAUGUAAGAUGCAAACCAUCUCGAUAACAAAUAUUUGAAUAUAUUUGGCAAGUUUUUUAAGAUCCUACAAAAUCCGCCACAUCCCUAUACAUACCCUUCCACCAAUAUUUUUCUUUCAACUUAAUAAAUAUUGUCAAAAUAUCUCGAUGCACUACUCAUAAACUUUCAUGAAAUUCCUUAAUAAUCUUUUGUUGAGCUUCUAAACCACAUAUCACUCAUUGUGGUACUUCUUCUCUCUUCUUUGGAUGCUUCCAUAAAUAUCCAUCUCUUAAAAAAUAUCCAUAGGCUUUCUUUUGGAUUUUUUUAAAUUCUUGAUCUGUCCAACCAUCUUGUUGCUUUAAUGUGCUUUAAUACUCCCCAAUGUCUUUCUAUUCUUCUUCAUAUAGAUCUCUUGAAAAUAUUUCUAAUGGUAUAUUCAAACAUAUACUUUCUUCUUUUGAUAAUGCAUUAAUAUAAAAAUUUGUAUCCACAUUAUCUUCUAAAUCUAUCAUAUCUUCUUCAUCGUAAUACCUUGCUCUUGAUAACAUAUCUGCGACUAAAUUUUCUUUUCUUGUAAUAUGUUUAAAUCCCAGAUUUAUAGAUUUGAUAUAUGCCAUCCACCUUAAUAUAUCAAUAUCAAGAGUUGAACAACUUGUAAUCAUACCCAAUAAAAGUAGACAAUUUAUUUCUACAACUACUGAUGUACCAAUCAAAUAUUCCCUUUCAUUUUUCAUAGCUAUUACUACAUCCCAUAAUUUUCUUUUGAUUUGUACAUAUAUCCUUUGUCUAGCAUUCAAAACCUUUGCUCCAAACCUUACUACAUAUCUAUUCUUUUGUUCAUCAUCUUGUCUAACUGCCCAACCUAUUCCAAUUGGACUUGUAUCAAUUGUUAAUAUUAAUGGCCUUUCACAUUCAUAAUUUACUUUCUUCAAAGUUGGAGGUGAAGAAAGAAAUUCUUUUAACUUUACCAUAACUUUUCUUUGUUCUUUUUUCCAUUGAAAUUUUUGAUUCUUUCUUGACAACUCAUAUAAUGGAUUUGAUAUAUGUGUAAAAUGAGGUAUCCAUAUAUGAUAGAAAAUACAUGUUCUUAAAAACCUCCUGACUUCUGUUGUAUUUGCACACUCUUUCUUUUUUUUUAUAAUAUCAACUUUUUUCCUACUUGGAUUGCAUCCAUAUGAACCACACAUGUCUCCUACUACCAAAACUUCUUUUACUCCAAAUAUUGAUUUUGUCCUCGAUAAGGUCAAAUGAACUUCUUCUAACCUUAUCAAAACCUUUUCACAAUCAUCAAUAUGAUCUGCCACAAACUUCCUACAUCCCUUUGAAUCCAAUAUCUCACCCUUUCUUUCUUCUUUACAUCCCUUAAUUGGUACAUCAUCUAGAAAAGAUAUUGUUAUUUUUGGAAUAAAAUCUCUUAGUAUCUUAUGCAUUCCAUUCAUCAUGUGUGCCACAAAAUUUGUAGCCCCUUGUGGUAAUGUAUACAUUCUGACCAAUCCCAAUGGUGUCUUCAUAGUUGUCAAAUCUCUACUUUGCAUUGCCAAUUGAAAUUGAUCGUAUCCUGAGUAAAGAUCUCUCAUAGAAUAAAUUGAUCUCCCUGUAAAUGCCUCUGUAAACUCAUCCACAAUUGGACUUGAGCCCAUGUUUCUAAUAGUUAUUUUAUUUACUGGUUGCAUAUCUUGAAUAAACCUCAAUGUUCCAUUUUUCUUAGGUACUGUAAACCACCGAUUGGAAUAUGGUGCAAUAGAUGGUUCUAAAAUUCCCAUCUUAAUUUUUUCAUUGAGUAAUUCAACUAGCUUUGGCAAAUGGACCUUUCGAAUUGGAAUUGGCCUCAAAUUCCAUAGUUCAUGCAAUAUUGUAAAAGUAACCAUAGGUGCUACAAUACUCGGAUCAAUGCACCCUAUUUCAUGUGAUUCAAAUGCAAAUGCUUUACCAUGUCGUGAAAGCAUUUCUUUAAAAUAUUUCUCCUCAUCUCUUAUCAAAAAUUUAUCUCAUUCAAUUUUCAAACUAUCUAACGUCAAAUUAUCCUUGAAUUCAUGACCUACUUUCCUUGGAUCUCUUAAGUUAGGUUGCAUAGAAGCCCCUUUAAUCCUUUCUUCAAAAUCCGAUAGUAAUGGCAAUGCCACUAGUUUAACCUUCCUUGUAACAGUCUUGUAUUUUGUGUUCACCUUCACUUCAUAUCUAUCCAUAUAUUCUUUUAUUCCAUCAUAAACUAGCUUAGAAUAGAUAUUUAUUACUUUAUCACCUCUUUCAAAAUCUCCAUUCAAUAAUAUUUGUAAAUCAUUCAUAAUAUCACCAAAACAAGAUUCUCCAAACAUUCCUGAUAUGUAUUCAUCUUCAUCAAACAUUCCACAUUUCUUUAAUCCCUGUUCUACAUUCUUAGUAUUUUUUUAUCUAUCCUACUAAAAUUAUUUAUAUUUUUGAAUAAAAUAUAUCCAUCUCAUGAUAAUUCUACAAUAUCUUCAUCCUUUCUAUUAGGCGGGAAGCCUUCACUCUUUUUACCAUUGCAAUCCCGCUUCACAAUGGCGUCUAGUAAAAAUCCUUUGAGUCUUCAAGAUCUUCAAAUUAUUUAUGUAUCUUUGAUAAAUGAUGUUCCUUCAAACUAUCCCUAUUUCUUCUAUGAUUUGCACAAACUGUUAAAAAUUGCACUACCCUCUUUCCGUCUUGACUUCUUAUCCUUGCAUAAGUUGAUCUAUCAUCCAUAACCUUUGUCUUCAUUCAUGUGGCAGUAAUAUAUGGUUGUCAUAAUAUAAUAGGAUAUGUAGACAUAUCUUGCACAAAGAAAUUUUGUUCAUGAAUAACAUUUCCUAUUGUCACCUUGAUAUUUGGACAAGCUCCAUACAAAUCCCCCUUUGAAUUAUUUGUUGCUCUUAUCAUCUACCCAUGCUCAAUAUCAAUAAGCCAAUUUUUCCUUUUAUAUAAUUCUGUUGAAAUUAAAUUUAUUUCAAAACCAUGAUCAAUCAAUGUUAUAAUUGGUUCUUCUAAAUCUUUCAAUUUUACCAAAGUUUCCGUAGUAGCCCUUGCCCAAUGACUUCGAGAAUAAUGACUAGAAGCUUGAAUCAUAUUUUCUUUUUCUGUAAAUUUGACUUGUGAAACAUCUCCAACAAUUUGCAUUUCAAUUUCUUCAUCUUCAUUGCUUCCUAUUGCCUUUGUACCUUAUGCAUUUGAUGUCAUAGUAUCACCAAUAGAUUGUCGUUUUCUUUUUAUUGUAUCAAUAAUAACUUUAUGAAAUUCUCAUUUUGCAAUUUCUAGAAUUUUACCAAUUGUAAAUUCAACCUUUCCACUUAAAAUCCGCUCCUCCAAUACUUUCUUCAAAUCUAUAGCAGCUUCAAUAUUUAGUUGUAAUUUAUAAGCAGGAACCUUUACUUUUUCUUUCAUAAUCUCCCUCUCCUUUGUAGAAAUAUUCUCUAUUAUCUCUUCAUGCAUAGGAUUCUUUUGUUGUCGAGUUUUAUCUUCCCUUGUGAUUCUUUUUGAUGGCCCUUCAUGAUUUUCGUCUUUCCUUCAUUUUUCUUCUAUUAAUGCUUCAUGUUGACUCCUUGCAAUAUCAGCAUGAACUGAUAAUCUAUCUACUCGAUCAUCCCACCUAGUAAUUUGUUGAAUAUUAUUGACAACAUGUUUUAGAUCAUUUCUAGUAAAAUUUCCCUUUUCAGCAUAAUUCAUUGCAGUUGACCAUAAAGAACUAGAUUUUCCUGGAUACUCAAGAUUUAUACUUAAGCAUUUGCUUAGAUUUUCCUCCACCCAAAAUAUUGAUGCUUCGUUGCUUGAAGUUGUAUGCACCUUGAAAGCAUCUCCUACAAAUACCUUCAUUCCUCUUUUACUAAAAUUUGUCUCUAAUUUUUCUCCACUCUCUUUUAAGUGUAUCAUACCAUCUUUAAAAAAAACAACUCCUUUGCAUAGCACCUCUAAAAAAUCCUCACACUCCCUUUUUGAAUAAUCUAUGCUAUCACACCACAUGCACCUAUGCACCAUACUUUCUAUUGGUCUUAAAUUUUAUAUUGUUGAUAUUCUUGAUGAUUGAUCCAUCUCUUCAAGUUUUGCAAAUUUUAUUUGCAAAUCUUUCAUCCCUCAUAUGAUUUCAUCAAUGCCCAUUUCUUCUCUCUUUGAUGUAGCCAUUGAAGGUUGAAUUGUAGAUGUAGGAUAGAUAGCAGGAAUUUUUUCUUUAGAUGUUUGCAAUGUUCUUUGAAUUUCCAUCCUAUCUUUUCUCUUUUCUCUUUUUGCAAGGAUCCCAAUCGCCUCUUCUACUUUUUUCCAAUUUGUUGUCAAUCCUUCAACUUCUUCUUUAUCUUCUAGCUAAAUUUCCAACUUCUCUUGCAACUCUCUAUUAGCCACUUGAAGAAAAAGCUUUACUUUACUUGUUUUAAUAAUUACCUCUCCUUUAAUAAAUAAGAAUAUUACUUUUCAAACUUCCUUAGUAACUCCGUUGCUAGUAGAUCCUUCUUAGGCCUUUCAAUCUAUUAAAAAAACAACUUCUUUGUAACUCGGUCACUAUCUUCUAAAAAAUAUUCAUCCUUCAAUGCUUGAGAUAAUUUUUUCCAUGAACCUCCAGAAUGUCCUAUAAUGGACUUCAUAUGAUUUCUUAUUUCUGGUGCAGUAGCCAAUUCAAAUAGCUGAACCAUCUCCUUCUCUGAAACAUGCUUCAAUUCCAUUUCAUUUACGUAACAUCUUAAAUAUUUUAUAAUAUUCUUUCCUUCAAAUUGAUCAAUCUUGUCUACAACAGCUUGUAAUGCUUUGUCUGCUAUGCCCUCUUUGCAAUCUUUAACCUAUUGUUGUUGCAUGAAUAAGGCCAAUGCCUCAAAUAUGCUUCUAGAGUUGGGAUCAAAAUACAUACCUUGUCUUUCAAUUGAAGCUCCACUUCCAACUCCACUUGAAGCACCACCAAAAGCUCUUCCUUCCAUUCUCUUACCUUCCUUCUUCAUAACCCAAAUAGAUCAAAGAAACUCCAAAUACCUCUUACCUCAAGUUUUUCACGUCGGGUUCACCAAAUAUGUUGUAUAAUGUGAAGUCUUACUUGAGAAUGUACCGAACACCUAGCUAUGAAAGGUAAAAGAAAAUUGCAACAAAAGGUCCUAACAAUCUAAUAAGAUUUUAGAGAAUUUACAAUUAAAUGUUAACAAUUAUAAUCAAACAUUGAGCAAGCUCAAUUAAAUUUUAUUGAAGUUAUAAAAGAAACACAAGAAAAUCCUAAAGAAAUAUAAAAGAAUAUUAAAGAAACUUAGUCAAACCCUAACAAAAUCUAAUAAAAUCUUAAAUUCUAACCAAUCCCUAAUCCUAAUCCAACCUUAAUCAAAUCCUAGACAAACCCUAAAUCCUAAACCAAACCUUAAUCAAACCAUAAUCAAAUCCUAAACCUAAAACCAAUCCCUAAUCAAAUCCUAAACCAAAUCCUAAAUCCUAUUUCAAACCCUAAUUCAAAUCUUAAAUCCUAACUCAAAUCCUAAAUCAAAUCCUAAACCCUAAACCCUAAACCAAAUCCUAAACCAUA